RNAcentral lists this ribosomal RNA (408 nucleotides) under Escherichia coli. Its description in RNAcentral is "bacterial SSU rRNA". It matches the Rfam family "Bacterial small subunit ribosomal RNA", at positions 292 to 692 of the family's 1533-position model. RNAcentral also lists the same sequence under 1 other name. Lineage: Bacteria; Pseudomonadati; Pseudomonadota; Gammaproteobacteria; Enterobacterales; Enterobacteriaceae. The record is from RNAcentral.
CUGAGAGGAUGACCAGCCACACUGGAACUGAGACACGGUCCAGACUCCUACGGGAGGCAGCAGUGGGGAAUAUUGCACAAUGGGCGCAAGCCUGAUGCAGCCAUGCCGCGUGUAUGAAGAAGGCCUUCGGGUUGUAAAGUACUUUCAGCGGGGAGGAAGGGAGUAAAGUUAAUACCUUUGCUCAUUGACGUUACCCGCAGAAGAAGCACCGGCUAACUCCGUGCCAGCAGCCGCGGUAAUACGGAGGGUGCAAGCGUUAAUCGGAAUUACUGGGCGUAAAGCGCACGCAGGCGGUUUGUUAAGUCAGAUGUGAAAUCCCCGGGCUCAACCUGGGAACUGCAUCUGAUACUGGCAAGCUUGAGUCUCGUAGAGGGGGGUAGAAUUCCAGGUGUAGCGGUGAAAUGCGUA